UUCUAGGAGGCAGCAGGCGCGCAAAUUACCCAAUCCCGACACGGGGAGGUAGUGACAAUAAAUAACAAUACAGGCGCUCGAUAAGAGUCUUGUAAUUGGAAUGAGUACAAUUUAAACCCCUUAACGAGUAACAAUUGGAGGGCAAGUCUGGUGCCAGCAGCCGCGGUAAUUCCAGCUCCAAUAGCGUAUAUUAAAGUUGUUGCAGUUAAAAAGCUCGUAGUUGGAUCUAGGGACGCGCAUUUCAAGCGCCCGUGUCGUCGGGUCAAACCGGCGACUGCGUUGGCGUUGCGGGCUCGGUCCGUCGGUGCCACUAAAAGCACUGGCGUGUCAACCGGCCCGCCCGUCCCCUCCUUCUGGAUUCCCGUUCCUGCUAUUGAGUUAGGGGGGACGUCACAGGGGGCUCAUCGUCGUCAUGCAAAUGGCGGCGGGGGGUCCCUGGGGCCCAAAUCGUUUACCGUGAAAAAAUUAAAGUGUUCAAAGCAGGCAAAUCCAAUUCUCUGCCACCGAAUACAUUAGCAUGGGAUAAUGGAAUAGGACCCUGUCCUCCUAUUUUCAGUUGGUUUUGGCAGCGCGAGGACUAGGGUAAUGAUUAAUAGGGAUAGUUGGGGGCAUUA
This 614-nucleotide ribosomal RNA is filed under the name Acanthamoeba genotype T4. RNAcentral describes it as "SSU rRNA". It matches the Rfam family "Eukaryotic small subunit ribosomal RNA", at positions 414 to 893 of the family's 1831-position model. The record is from RNAcentral. Lineage: Eukaryota; Discosea; Longamoebia; Acanthamoebidae.